GGAGGUAUAGCUUAGUGGUAGAGGAUGCACCUAGCAUGCACAAGGUCUUGGGUUCAAUCCCCAGUACCUCUA
This 72-nucleotide transfer RNA is filed under the name Camelus bactrianus (Bactrian camel). It matches the Rfam family "tRNA". Rfam says of the family: Transfer RNA (tRNA) molecules are approximately 80 nucleotides in length. Lineage: Eukaryota; Metazoa; Chordata; Mammalia; Artiodactyla; Camelidae. RNAcentral also lists the same sequence under 2 other names. The record is from Rfam by way of RNAcentral.